UACGUAGGGGGCAAGCGUUGUCCGGAUUUAUUGGGCAUAAAGAGCGUGUAGGCGGCUAGGUAGGUCCGUUGUGAAAACUCGAGGCUCAACCUCGAGACGCCGGUGGAAACCAUCUAGCUAGAGUCCGGAAGAGGAGAGUGGAAUUCCUGGUGUAGCGGUGAAAUGCGCAGAUAUCAGGAAGAACACCCGUGGCGAAGGCGGCUCUCUGGGACGUGACUGACGCUGAGACGCGAAAGCGUAGGGAGCGAACAGG
RNAcentral lists this ribosomal RNA (253 nucleotides) under uncultured bacterium. RNAcentral's name for it is "partial 16S ribosomal RNA". It matches the Rfam family "Bacterial small subunit ribosomal RNA", at positions 524 to 776 of the family's 1533-position model. The record is from RNAcentral.